GACGAACGCUGGCGGCGUGCUUAAUACAUGCAAGUCGAGCGAGGUUACUGUUUUGGAUCCCUUCGGGGUGAAGAAGCUUUAACCUAGCGGCGGACGGGUGAGUAACGCGUGGGUAACCUACCCCAAAGUCCGGGAUAACAGUGGGAAACCGCUGCUAAUACCGGAUGCCUUUACCUUGGGGCAUCUUGAGGUAAAGAAAGGUAACGCUUUGGGAUGGGCCCGCGUCCCAUUAGCUAGUUGGUGAGGUAACGGCUCACCAAGGCGACGAUGGGUAGCCGGCCUGAGAGGGUGGACGGCCACACUGGGACUGAGACACGGCCCAGACUCCUACGGGAGGCAGCAGUAGGGAAUAUUGCGCAAUGGACGGAAGUCUGACGCAGCGACGCCGCGUGAGCGAUGAAGGUCUUCGGAUCGUAAAGCUCUGUCCUUGGGGAAGAAGGUCCUCGGACUUGACGGUACCCAAGAAGAAAGCCCCGGCUAACUACGUGCCAGCAGCCGCGGUAAUACGUAGGGGGCGAGCGUUGUCCGGAAUUACUGGGCGUAAAGGGUGCGUAGGCGGCCCUUUAAGUCGGAUGUGAAAGCCCGCGGCUUAACCGCGGAAUGGCAUUCGAAACUGGAGGGCUUGAGUGUCGGAGAGGGUAGUGGAAUUCCCAGUGUAGCGGUGAAAUGCGUAGAUAUUGGGAGGAACACCAGUGGCGAAGGCGACUACCUGGACGAUAACUGACGCUGAGGCACGAAAGCUAGGGGAGCAAACAGGAUUAGAUACCCUGGUAGUCCUAGCCGUAAACGAUGGGUACUAGGUGUGGGUGGUUUCGAUACCAUCCGUGCCGUAGUUAACGCAUUAAGUACCCCGCCUGGGGAGUACGUGCGCAAGCAUGA
This 879-nucleotide ribosomal RNA is filed under the name uncultured bacterium. RNAcentral's name for it is "bacterial SSU rRNA". It matches the Rfam family "Bacterial small subunit ribosomal RNA", at positions 28 to 897 of the family's 1533-position model. The record is from RNAcentral.